AUUGAACGCUGGCGGCAUGCUUUACACAUGCAAGUCGAACGGUAACAGGCCUUCGGGUGCUGACGAGUGGCGAACGGGUGAGUAAUGCAUCGGAACGUGUCCAGAGGUGGGGGAUAACGCAGCGAAAGCUGUGCUAAUUCCGCAUGUGAUCUGAGGAUGAAAGCGGGGGACCAGGCAGCAAUGUUUGGCCUCGCGCCUUUGGAGCGGCCGAUGUCAGAUUAGGUAGUUGGUGGGGUAAAGGCCUACCAAGCCGACGAUCUGUAGCUGGUCUGAGAGGACGACCAGCCACACUGGGACUGAGACACGGCCCAGACUCCUACGGGAGGCAGCAGUGGGGAAUUUUGGACAAUGGGCGCAAGCCUGAUCCAGCAAUGCCGCGUGCGGGAAGAAGGCCUUCGGGUUGUAAACCGCUUUUGUACGGAACGAAAAGGCUCUGGCUAAUACCUGGGGCUGAUGACGGUACCGAAAGAAUAAGCACCGGCUAACUACGUG
This 492-nucleotide ribosomal RNA is filed under the name uncultured bacterium. Its description in RNAcentral is "partial 16S ribosomal RNA". It matches the Rfam family "Bacterial small subunit ribosomal RNA", at positions 30 to 507 of the family's 1533-position model. The record is from RNAcentral.